GCUUCAGUAGUUUAAUAAAAAACGUUGGUCUUGUAAAUCAAAAAUGAAAUUUUUUUUUUCCUAAAGUA
This 68-nucleotide transfer RNA is filed under the name Typhlatya arfeae. Its description in RNAcentral is "tRNA-Thr". It matches the Rfam family "tRNA". Rfam says of the family: Transfer RNA (tRNA) molecules are approximately 80 nucleotides in length. Their secondary structure includes four short double-helical elements and three loops (D, anti-codon, and T loops). The record is from RNAcentral. Lineage: Eukaryota; Metazoa; Arthropoda; Malacostraca; Decapoda; Atyidae.